AGGGUACUUACAUCAAUUAACAAUUCAAGUCUCAAACUUACAUGCCAGAAUUUAUUCUCCUAGAGAUAUGGUUUGCACCUUGGAAUAUUUGAUCAACUAAAACCACUGAUGCAGGAGUACUUGGACUAUAUGUGAUAUGUUCACAACCACAAUAUUAUUAUAUGACAUAAUUUGGAUCAAACAUCAGUAAUUCCCUUGUCA
RNAcentral lists this unclassified non-coding RNA (201 nucleotides) under Hevea brasiliensis (rubber tree). Lineage: Eukaryota; Viridiplantae; Streptophyta; Magnoliopsida; Malpighiales; Euphorbiaceae. The record is from RNAcentral.